AUGGAACAAGGUCUCCGUUGGUGAACCAGCGGAGGGAUCAUUAC
This 44-nucleotide ribosomal RNA is filed under the name Fusarium cf. equiseti MY-2011. Its description in RNAcentral is "partial 18S small subunit ribosomal RNA". The record is from RNAcentral. Lineage: Eukaryota; Fungi; Ascomycota; Sordariomycetes; Hypocreales; Nectriaceae.